AGUGAACGCUGGCGGCAGGCCUAAUACAUGCAAGUCGAACGGCAGCACAGCAGAGCUUGCUCUGUGGGUGGCGAGUGGCGGACGGGUGAGGAAUACGUGGGAAUCUGCCCAGUCGUGGGGGAUAACGUAGGGAAACUUACGCUAAUACCGCAUGCGCCCUUCGGGGGAAAGCCGGGGACCUUCGGGCCUGGCGCGAUUGGAUGAGCCCACGUCGGAUUAGCUAGUUGGCGGGUAAAGGCCCACCAAGGCGACGAUCCGUAGCUGGUCUGAGAGGAUGAUCAGCCACACUGGAACUGAGACACGGUCCAGACUCCUACGGGAGGCAGCAGUAGGGAAUAUUGGACAAUGGGCGCAAGCCUGAUCCAGCCAUGCCGCGUGAGUGAAGAAGGCCCUCGGGUUGUAAAGCUCUUUUGUCCGGAAAGAAAAGCGCCGGGUUAAUACCCUGGUGUCCUGACGGUACCGAAGAAUAAGCACCGGCUAACUUCGUGCCAGCAGCCGCGGUAA
RNAcentral lists this ribosomal RNA (504 nucleotides) under uncultured bacterium. RNAcentral's name for it is "bacterial SSU rRNA". It matches the Rfam family "Bacterial small subunit ribosomal RNA", at positions 29 to 523 of the family's 1533-position model. The record is from RNAcentral.